This 77-nucleotide transfer RNA is filed under the name Bacillota bacterium. RNAcentral describes it as "tRNA-Pro". It matches the Rfam family "tRNA". Rfam says of the family: Transfer RNA (tRNA) molecules are approximately 80 nucleotides in length. Their secondary structure includes four short double-helical elements and three loops (D, anti-codon, and T loops). Further hydrogen bonds mediate the characteristic L-shaped molecular structure. tRNAs have two regions of fundamental functional importance: the anti-codon, which is responsible for specific mRNA codon recognition, and the 3' end, to which the tRNAs corresponding amino acid is attached (by aminoacyl-tRNA synthetases). tRNAs cope with the degeneracy of the genetic code in two manners: having more than one tRNA (with a specific anti-codon) for a particular amino acid; and 'wobble' base-pairing, i.e. permitting non-standard base-pairing at the 3rd anti-codon position. The record is from RNAcentral. Lineage: Bacteria; Bacillati; Bacillota.
CGGGGCGUGGCGCAGGUUGGUAGCGCGCCUGGUUUGGGACCAGGAGGCCGGAGGUUCAAGUCCUCUCGCCCCGACCA